Molecule: ribosomal RNA, 843 nt
Filed under: uncultured Gammaproteobacteria bacterium
Lineage: Bacteria; Pseudomonadati; Pseudomonadota; Gammaproteobacteria
Description: bacterial SSU rRNA
Rfam family: Bacterial small subunit ribosomal RNA
Source: RNAcentral
AGGGUUUGAUCAUGGCUCAGAUUGAACGCUGGCGGCGUGCCUAACACAUGCAAGUCGAGCGGUAACGGGUGUAGCAAUACAUGCUGACGAGCGGCGGACGGGUGAGCAAUGUUUGGGAAUCUGCCUAUUAGUGGGGGACAACCCGGGGAAACUCGGGCUAAUACCGCAUACGAUCUACGGAUGAAAGCCGGGGACCGCAAGGCCUGGCGCUAAUAGAUGAGCCCAAAUCGGAUUAGCUAGUUGGUGAGGUAACGGCUCACCAAGGCGACGAUCCGUAGCUGGUCUGAGAGGACGACCAGCCACACCGGAACUGAGACACGGUCCGGACUCCUACGGGAGGCAGCAGUGGGGAAUAUUGGACAAUGGGCGAAAGCCUGAUCCAGCGACGCCGCGUGGGUGAAGAAGGCCUGCGGGUUGUAAAGCCCUUUCGGUGGGGAAGAAAAGCCUCGUUUUAAUACAGCGGGGUCUUGACGUAACCCAAGAAAGAAGCACCGGCUAACUCUGUGCCAGCAGCCGCGGUAAUACAGAGGGUGCGAGCGUUAAUCGGAAUUACUGGGCGUAAAGCGCGCGUAGGCGGCUUUGCAAGUCGGGUGUGAAAUCCCCAGGCUUAACCUGGGAACUGCAUUCGAGACUGCAUUGCUAGAGUAUGGGAGAGGGAAGUGGAAUUUCAGGUGUAGCGGUGAAAUGCGUAGAUAUCUGAAGGAACAUCAGUGGCGAAAGCGACUUCCUGGACCAAUACUGACGCUCAUGUGCGAAAGCGUGGGGAGCAAACAGGAUUAGAUACCCUGGUAGUCCACGCCAUAAACGAUGACAACUGGAUGUCGGGAGGGUCUGCCUCUCGGU